ACCUGAGCUCCCUGCUCUUAGGCUCAGGGCUGUUCUAUGGCUUCUCCUCCUGCUGCUCUAUUCUCUGGGCAGCCCUAGCCUUGCUCCAUCCCUGGGGCUGGCUGUGACACACCGGUGGCUGCCUUGACACGCAUCCCAGCUGGUGUGGGGAUGGGAGCAAGGACCUCCCCGUCCUGAGGAUGUGUCCUCAGCUGUGGGGCCUCAUUGGUGUACAGGGGAGCUCCUGAGAUGAGGAAGGUUGCCAAAAGGACAGCCAGAAGGGCUGAGAGCUCACAGGCGUGUGGGAGGGCAGAGUUAUUUAAAAGACACCAUCCUGGAGUGCUCAAGGAGAUGUGUCACCAGUUUUCAAGCAGGCCUUCGGGAAGACUAAACAGCGGGGUUGGAAAGGCAGCGAUAAGCAAACAGGCAUCCUUCACAAACCCCAGAGUGAGAGGAAUGGAGAGACCGUGAACUGUGGAAGGUUGCGUGUGAAAACACGUGGGAGCAAGCCAAGAAAGAGUCUGAGGAGCAGCUUCCAAAAGGCAUUAGGAGAAAAUAUGGACUCUGUCAAACGCGUGGAGAUGCGGGCCAGGAGAGCCUCAAAGUUAGAAAACAAAACAAGGAGCUCAAAGGCGUUUAAAGCUGCAGCUGAAGGGCUGCGGCUCUUGGUUUGCUUCCAGGCAGGAAAGCUGCUGGGGCUGUUUGUGCAGGGGAAGCUUUCUCUGGGCAGGGUCUGCUUGAUGUCCUGACGGGUUGGAGAGGCCGGGGAGCGAGCAGCCACCCAGGAGCCUCUGUGGCAUGGCGGGGUUAUGUCCCCACGAUGGCUGGUGUGGGAUGUAACGUCCCCUCUGAGGAGACGGACCCUGGGGGUUGCUGGGGAGCUGUGCGGAUGCACGGCCGGUGCUGCUCAGAAUGUCAGCAGCAGCUGGAGCAGCCGGCUGUGGUGGACGCAUGGACAAAUAUGGAAUGUUAGAGAGGAGGCAGUGCGGUGCUGGCUGCUGGAGCAGCCUCCAGAUGAGCCUCUCGGCUCCUUGCAGAGGCCAGCAAGCGUGUGCUGGAGGGGGAGAGGAUCAGGAAGGACCGGUCCUGCGGUCCAGCAGGUCUUCAGCAGGUCCUUCCCCAUAGGCGCUGCAGGAGAGGUCACUCCACGGCGUACAGCAUGGGAAAGCAGCACCUACAGAGAGCCCCUGGCUCCCCACACCUCCGGAAGCCUUUUGCAACGCACCGGAGCCCGAAGCGGAGGCGCCUGCCCCAAAAUGCUCCUGCGGUGUGGAAGCAGCCAGCCUGUGCCACGAGCAUCACCAGCAGGCGGAGGUGGGACAGCAAGAGGAGGCGAACAGCACUGUGUAUAGAGCUGAGCCUCGUGACAGGGCUCGGGGCUGCGGUCAUCGGGUGCUGAGGAGAACACGGUCGGCCAAAAAAGGAUUUUGAGGCGCUUUGGAGCUAGAGUUGGUUUUGGUGCAGAGUGACAACAGCUUUUCUGCUUUCCACGCCAUGCUUUGCAAACGUUACUGUUGCAACCCUGAGACCCGCAGGAGAGCGCAGCAGCCGCCUUGUGCGGGGGUUGCACAGCCCCAUAGCUCUGAGCAGUGAAACCCCACUGUGGGGGCUUGCCAGCAGCCUCCCCAGGCACCUUGAUGCAUGCUCAGCCUGCUCCUGCACCAACUAGGCUGCCCUAGGGCUUCCUGGGAGCAGCAGCUCCCUGUUCCCUGGUAGGGCAGGUGGGGAGGCAGGGCUGGAUGCUGGUCCUUUGCUCCACAAGCACAGGCGGAGAUACAGCAUGGGAGAACAGAAGGGUCGAGGGGUGGUUUUGGGGGCACUGCAGCCUUGCCAAGCAGAGAGGUUUCCAAACCAGAGUUCAGGACCACAUCACCGCUCACCCUCCAGCUCCAGGCUACCCACAGCUGGAGCGGCCCCAUCCCUCCCAGUCCAGAAGCAACACAGAACCAGCUGCUCUCACCUCUCCAGGCACGUGUGCGGCAGCGCGGCGAGUCCUUUGCACAUCUUGGCACGCUGCUCUGUCCUCAGCUGCAAGAAAAGGGUGUGCGGUGGCUGCGACUCGAUCUGCAGCCCAGCUCCCCUUCCGACAGCUAUAUAGUGCAGUCAGCUGGACCCCUGCCAGCCCCCAGCGCCGUCCCGACGCAGCUGGCCCGGCCGCCCUGCAGUCUUGUUUUUCCCUUCUCCAGGCUCACAUGGGGAAAUGCGUGUGCUUGGGGUGAGAGUAGGGGAUGGCAGCACCGGGGCUGAGCUGCAGGCUGCAGAGCUUGGAGAAACCUGCAAGGCUUCCUCUUGUUGGUGUACCGGGCUCUGGUGCAGUGUUUAGAGGAGGUGCGUAGUAACGCUGCUUGCGAGCGAGCUUUUGUCCUACUAGAAUACCACCUGUAUGAAAAUGGAGUGCUUAGGAGAAGGGUUUGCCUUUGAAACAAACACUGUGGUUAAUGUCAAAGCCUCCGCUUUCAGCAGUGGUUAUCAGCACGUGAGUGAUAGGUAACGUUUGCUCCAGAACAAGUUGUAAGCGUAAAAAAAAGUAAAUGUUUUAAUGUUAA
Gallus gallus (chicken) is the source of this 2525-nucleotide long non-coding RNA. RefSeq lists it as uncharacterized. Lineage: Eukaryota; Metazoa; Chordata; Aves; Galliformes; Phasianidae. The record is from RefSeq and is a predicted model, not a curated record. The transcript has 2 exons.